Parelaphostrongylus tenuis is the source of this 73-nucleotide non-coding RNA. NCBI's taxonomy places the organism in Eukaryota, Metazoa, Nematoda, Chromadorea, Rhabditida, Metastrongylidae. The record is from the annotation of a GenBank genome assembly.
GCCUUGGUGGUGUAGUGGUAGAGUACGCGUCCUCGGUAUGGAUGGAAUGCGGGUUCGAUUCUCGUCUCAGGCC